GGGGCUAUGGAUCAGUGGUAGAGCACCUGCUUGGCAUGCAGAACGUCCUGGGUUCAAUCCUCAGUGCCUCA
This 71-nucleotide transfer RNA is filed under the name Sphaerodactylus townsendi. RNAcentral describes it as "tRNA-Ala". It matches the Rfam family "tRNA". From Rfam's summary of the family: Transfer RNA (tRNA) molecules are approximately 80 nucleotides in length. Their secondary structure includes four short double-helical elements and three loops (D, anti-codon, and T loops). The record is from RNAcentral. Lineage: Eukaryota; Metazoa; Chordata; Lepidosauria; Squamata; Sphaerodactylidae.